RNAcentral lists this ribosomal RNA (242 nucleotides) under uncultured bacterium. RNAcentral's name for it is "partial 16S ribosomal RNA". It matches the Rfam family "Bacterial small subunit ribosomal RNA", at positions 524 to 765 of the family's 1533-position model. The record is from RNAcentral.
UACGAAGGGGGCUAGCGUUGUUCGGAAUCACUGGGCGUAAAGGGCGCGUAGGCGGCUUUAUAAGUCGGGGGUGAAAGCCUGUGGCUCAACCACAGAAUUGCCUUCGAUACUGUAUGGCUUGAGACCGGAAGAGGUAAGUGGAACUGCGAGUGUAGAGGUGAAAUUCGUAGAUAUUCGCAAGAACACCAGUGGCGAAGGCGGCUUACUGGUCCGGUUCUGACGCUGAGGCGCGAAAGCGUGGA